AAAACACAAAAAAAAACUAAGCCCUAAACCUAUAAAACCUUAAAAAACCUAAACCUAAACAACUUAAAGCCCUAAAUCCUAAAAACCUAGCUAAAUCCAUUAACCUAAAACACUAUACCUAAAAAGCCCUAAACCUUAAUCCCAAACCCAAAACCCUGAAUCCUAAACCUAAAACCGUAAGAAACCCUAAACCCUAAACCUUAAGAAACCCUAAAUCCAAUAAACCCUAAAAUAAACCCUAAAAACCAUUAAAGACCCCUAC
This 262-nucleotide long non-coding RNA is filed under the name Solanum tuberosum (potato). RNAcentral's name for it is "long non-coding RNA (STUB_LNC009098)". The record is from RNAcentral. Lineage: Eukaryota; Viridiplantae; Streptophyta; Magnoliopsida; Solanales; Solanaceae.